AUUAAAACACAGGCAGAAUUUAAAACAUGAUGAGUGUAUUUCCUGUGAAAAUGGGGCAUGUGACAAUUUAACAUCACCAAUAGUGGGUCAAGUUGGUAUCACCUACUUUUUGAUGUACAUGCACUAAGAAAGAUACAACACCACCUAUGUAGCACUUAUAAUCACAAGUUUUAACCUGAAUCAUGAGAAAGUAACCAGGGAAAUCCAAAUUGAAUGACAUCUUGAAAAAGAAUUAGUCUGGACUCUUUAAAAAUGCCAUUAUUGGGGCUGAGGUUGUAGCUCAGUGGUAGAGCACUUGCCUAGCAUGUGUGAGGUACUGGAUUUGGUCCUCAGCACCACAUUAAAAAAUAAAUAAAAUAAAGGUGUUGUAUCCAUCUACAACUAAAAAAUAUUUUUAAAUGCCAUUAUUAGGAUAGAUAAUGAUCAAUUUAGCUGUCUGACAGAAUAGAAGAUCAUUCUGUAGAGAAACAGCACCAUAAGAAUUUGUAUAACAUAUCACUUAUGCUCAGUGUUAAAAAAUAAUAAUUAGAUAUGCAAAGAAAUAGCAAACUGUGACACACAACAAGAAAAUAUAUAAUAAACAGACAGAUGCUUAGAUGACCCAGAUGUUGAAAUAAUCAGAUAAGAACUUUAAAGGAGCUAUUACAAAUAUGUUCAAGGACUUACUGUAAAUAUGAUAUAU
Molecule: long non-coding RNA, 682 nt
Filed under: Marmota monax (woodchuck)
Lineage: Eukaryota; Metazoa; Chordata; Mammalia; Rodentia; Sciuridae
Source: RNAcentral